UUAAGCAAGAAGUUAUGCAAGCACAACUGGUAGAAGUCAUGGAAGAACAUAGGAAUUUGAGUGCUAGACAAGCUGAAAUGGCCAAGAAACAAGAAGAGCUUGCAAAGAAACAAGAUGAUUUGUUGAAGCAAUAGAAUGAAUCUGCAAUCCAGCAAACUAAUAUGGCAAGGACCCAAGCUGAUAUAGAAAACAAGCAAGAUGAGAUGAGUUGUGGCAUCAAGGCCCUGCUGGAAAUGAUGCAGCAGAAGCAGAACCCUUAGGAUCCCUUGCACAUUAUUUUUUUAC
RNAcentral lists this long non-coding RNA (285 nucleotides) under Medicago truncatula (barrel medic). RNAcentral describes it as "lncRNA gene39418". The record is from RNAcentral. Lineage: Eukaryota; Viridiplantae; Streptophyta; Magnoliopsida; Fabales; Fabaceae.